RNAcentral lists this ribosomal RNA (440 nucleotides) under uncultured bacterium. Its description in RNAcentral is "partial 16S ribosomal RNA". It matches the Rfam family "Bacterial small subunit ribosomal RNA", at positions 338 to 795 of the family's 1533-position model. The record is from RNAcentral.
CCUACGGGUGGCAGCAGUGGGGAAUAUUGCACAAUGGGGGAAACCCUGAUGCAGCGACGCCGCGUGAGUGAAGAAGUAAUGCGGUAUGUAAAGCUCUAUCAGCAGGGAAGAAAAUGACGGUACCUGAGUAAGAAGCCCCGGCUAACUACGUGCCAGCAGCCGCGGUAAUACGUAGGGGGCAAGCGUUAUCCGGAUUUACUGGGUGUAAAGGGAGCGUAGACGGCAGUGCAAGUCUGGAGUGAAAGGCGGGGGCUCAACCCCCGGACUGCUCUGGAAACUGUACGGCUGGAGUGCAGGAGAGGUAAGUGGACUUCCUAGUGUAGCGGUGAAAUGCGUAGAUAUUAGGAGGAACACCAGUGGCGAAGGCGGCUUACUGGACUGUAACUGACGUUGAGGCUCGAACGCGUGGGGAGCAAACAGGAUUAGAUACCCUUGUAGUC